RNAcentral lists this ribosomal RNA (526 nucleotides) under uncultured bacterium. Its description in RNAcentral is "bacterial SSU rRNA". It matches the Rfam family "Bacterial small subunit ribosomal RNA", at positions 355 to 889 of the family's 1533-position model. The record is from RNAcentral.
UGGGGAAUCUUGCACAAUGGGCGAAAGCCUGACGCAGCAACACCGCGUGAGGGAUGACGGCCUUCGGGUUGUAAACCUCUUUCAGCUCCGACGAAGCGAAAGUGACGGUAGGAGCAGAAGAAGCACCGGCUAACUACGUGCCAGCAGCCGCGGUAAUACGUAGGGUGCAAGCGUUGUCCGGAAUUAUUGGGCGUAAAGAGCUCGUAGGCGGUCCGUUGCGUCUGCCGUGAAAACCCGGAGCUCAACUCCGGGCCUGCGGUGGAUACGGGCGGACUAGAGUCCGGUAGGGGAGACUGGAAUUCCUGGUGUAGCGGUGGAAUGCGCAGAUAUCAGGAGGAACACCGGUGGCGAAGGCGGGUCUCUGGGCCGGAACUGACGCUGAGGAGCGAAAGCGUGGGGAGCGAACAGGAUUAGAUACCCCUGGUAGUCCACGCCGUAAAACGGUGGGCGCUAGGUGUGGGAUCGUUUCCACGAUCUCCGUGCCGUAGCUAACGCAUUAAGCGCCCCGCCUGGGGAGUACGGCCGC